CGUUCCUCUUUUUUUAUAUUUCUGUAUCUGCCCCUUUCGAUUUCCAAAAUAUGGUCACUUACCCUUAAUUUAGUAAAACAUUUCCUGAUUUCAGAGUUAUUUUUUAUUAAAUAAGGCUCAAUUUCAUAUUUCUUUUUAACUUUACUAUAAAUAAAUAAUUUAUUAUUUUCUGUUAACGAAUUCAAUUUUUUUUAAAACAGUUUUUUAUAAUUUUCUUGCAUAAUUUCUUUUAUCUGUAUAUUCAUUUUCUUUUUUUCUUUUAUAAAGUAAAAAUUUUCAAUAUCACAUAUUUUUAAAUUAUUUUCUAUAUUGGUACAACCCGCAAAUGAUUUGCAUAAUAUAUUAUUACCUGAAACCUGUGAUAACCCAGUUCACACGCAAAGAAAUACUGCAACCGUUUAAAGAACAUUAUAGUAAAAUCUGCUGAAACUAUAUUCUUGUGUGUCAAUUGAUUCUAAUGAAUUGAUAACUGUUUCUUCUAAGUUAUCAAUGUUCAUAGUUGUGUACAUCGACGUUACAUCAUAGGCAAUAAGGAUGCAUUCUUUUGUGACCUCGUGUGACUCUAUUUUAUUAAUGAAGUCUUUUGUAUCUUGAAUGUAAAAGUUAUGCCUCUUCAAUAAUGGUUUUAAGAUUAGACCCAGUAGUAAUCUUUCAAUGCGUCUCGUGGGAGAGUUACACUUAUUGAUGAUUGGUCGGUAAGGAAUGUUUAUGUUUCCAACUAUUUGACCAGUUCGGAAUGCCUCAUUAAUUAUUUCUAGAUUAAUUUUAUGAACUUUUGGAAGAAGGUACAUGUGUCCGUGUUUUGAUUCAUUAUUAUUCCUCAAGAAAUUAUAAGUUUGUGAAUCUAUUUCUUUUUUCCUAUAUAGAUUUUCAACAAUAUCUUUUAUAGAUUUGACAACAAGGUUCAUUUAUUUUCAACUUUUAUUAAAUGCGGUUCCUUCAACCAACAUACGUAAUGAAUCUCAAGACUUAUAUAUUUUAUUGAGACCAUAAUUAUU
Molecule: long non-coding RNA, 998 nt
Filed under: Mytilus galloprovincialis (Mediterranean mussel)
Lineage: Eukaryota; Metazoa; Mollusca; Bivalvia; Mytilida; Mytilidae
Source: RNAcentral